GGUGGAGACGGGACGGCGGCGGUCCCACCCGGCGGUAAACCGGGAGCCCGUUCGAGGGCAGUGAGGGUUCGACUCCCUCCUUCACCA
Molecule: transfer RNA, 87 nt
Filed under: Amycolatopsis echigonensis
Lineage: Bacteria; Bacillati; Actinomycetota; Actinomycetes; Pseudonocardiales; Pseudonocardiaceae
Description: tRNA-Tyr
Source: RNAcentral